AACUUUGCGCAGCGGCGAUAUCGUAACCAAUGAGGUUUAUCCGAGGUGCGAUUAUUGCUAGUUGAAAACUAAUACCAAUACCCCGCCGUCUCUUUAAUUUUUUUUUCUGUAUGUCUUAUA
Molecule: small nuclear RNA, 120 nt
Filed under: Diaphorina citri (Asian citrus psyllid)
Lineage: Eukaryota; Metazoa; Arthropoda; Insecta; Hemiptera; Psyllidae
Description: U4 spliceosomal RNA
Rfam family: U4 spliceosomal RNA
About the family: U4 small nuclear RNA (U4 snRNA) is a component of the major U2-dependent spliceosome. The structure of U4 snRNA from yeast and human has been reported.
Source: Rfam by way of RNAcentral